Molecule: long non-coding RNA, 1060 nt
Filed under: Bos taurus (domestic cattle)
Lineage: Eukaryota; Metazoa; Chordata; Mammalia; Artiodactyla; Bovidae
Description: long non-coding RNA NONBTAT023860
Source: RNAcentral
UUCAAAUGAAAUAAAUUUAAAGUUUAAAGAAGGUACAAAGUUGGUGAGCUCCAGCCACAGUUCUAUCAGGAUGGCUGCGUGUUGCCGUGUUCAUGUCCAGCACAACAGAAACUGAGGAAGACUCUCCUUCAGCCAUGGAACUGCUGGGCAAGAGGAUAGAGUGCCGAAUAGCCAGAUGCUUUAAUUCCAUUUUUAGCAAUGAAGUUUGUGCAUGUGAAACAUGCAUGUGGAACCACCUGGUUAGAAGGUUUUUUCCAACACUGUCAAAGCCUCUUCAGGAACAAAGCAAAGUCACCGCUCCGAAAAGUAAAUAAGAGACUGGGAGAAAGGAGACCAGGUUUGGCCUCCUAUGUCUGCUACUGACUGGGAGACUGCGAUGCGCCGUACUUUGCUGAACCUCAGAUUCUUCAUCUCUGCAUGCAGAGGGCUUGCCUGAGGCCCUUUCUUCUAAAACUUUGUAUGAACUUGCUUUAGUAUGAACUUGCUUUACCUUCCCUUCAACUUUAGUACCUUAACUAUUCCCUCUAAUAUCACUGGCUCCCUCUUCUUUUAUCAUAGUUAACAAGUGUUUUUGUGAACCCUUAUUUAGUUAGAUAGCAUAACUCAAAAAACAGUUAGUGGUACGAAUUCCCAUUACUACUCAGUCUUGUUCCCCAGAUGCUCUUUUGAGAAUUUACUGUUAAUACAGUUAAUGCUACAGUAUUUAAUAAUAAUUUUGAGAAUUAUCAACUACUGGUUCUUUAAACCAACAUCCAUAAGAUUAAUCUGUAAAACAAUCAUGUAGAUCCUGACCUCUCACAGUUUAUGAUGCAAUGAUUCCAAUAAGGAAGUUCUUUCCUUAUUAUCUUCUGUUUUCUAUAUUCUGACCAAUGUGGCAAUCACAUAUAAGUACCUGGUAUCUUUUCAUCAUAACACUUGUUUAUAAAUAGCUAUAACUCAUUUUGACACACCAAAUUAUCCCUAAAAAACUAGAGUGACUCCUUAGGAAUUGGGUGACCUCAUUGUACUAGGUUGGGCCAAGAGGCUACUACAUAAGUGAAGAGUAAGGUGUGGGAAUUUG